UCACGGGUCUCUUUUUUUCGUGGGACCUCCUUGUAGGUCACCCGACCAGCCAUGUGUCCCUCUGGCGAGCGGCAUUGGCGGCACCACUGGCCAGUCAAGGCGGAGUGCCAUCAACCAACCACAUGUGCUGGAAGACACGUGGGUGCCAACAAAGAUGUUUGUGAGCGUCCAUCCCGUGGGUGAAUGCGGCGCUAGCUUGCCUGGUGACCUGCCAUGCAUGGCCUCGUCACUGGUGUUGAUCAGGUCCUGAGGAAAUCCUUGGAGGUGGUGCCCUGGUGAAGCCCGUUGAUGGCGACUCAAAUGUAUGCUGACCAACGAUAACAGUUGGGCCUUGCUUGGCUAUAAACCCCGAAGUGCGUUGCCCUCUGACCGCCCAAACGGCAUUCUGCAAGGGUGGUGUGCCGACGCCGUUCAGUGGGAUGUCGUCUUCCUCCAGCAGCUCCACUCUGCAAGUUGAGGGUCCUUGGGAGCGGUGCCUGGUGCAACUCCUUAUUGAAACACGGCGUGCUGCACCGGGCCACACUUAUACCGACCAACACCAAGAAGUGACUGAGCUGGUGUGACUGGGCCUCGCAUGGCGAUAGCCCCCAAGUGCGUUACUCGUUGUGCUGAACACCCAAAUGCUGCCAUCUUACACGAGCUGAAGAUAAGAAUCCUCCGUUGCCGUGACUGCUCAAUGGCGGGGAUGGUCUUCUAGGAGGGCCCAACUCUGGUCCUUGGGAGCGGUGCCUGGUGCAACUAAUUAUUGAAACACGGCAGUGCUGCACCGGGCCACACUUGUACUGACCUACACCAAGAAGUGACCGAGCUGGUGUGGAUGGGCCUCGCAUGGCGAUAGCCCCCAAGUUCAUGCGGGGACUGCUCAUUGGAACAUGGAUUUCGAGAACUUGGACUCUGUUGAAGGAGGAGAGAGAGGGCCCUGUUACCGAAGUAGCCAAGAGGCUGACACGAGACUGGAGCGCCCCCCGUCAUGUUGUACAGCAAAGGGAAACGACGCUGGCCUUCGGCGCGUGCAAACGGCGCAGCUCGGCAGCCGUUUCUAAUAUUUUGUCGUUAAAGCCGCGUUUUUUCUUUGAAUUUUCGCAUUUGCUGUUACACUCAAGAAUGGCUUGACUUGCAAAGUUGAUAAUAAAAAAUCUGAGCAUCA
Long non-coding RNA from Lethenteron reissneri (Far Eastern brook lamprey), 1147 nucleotides. RefSeq lists it as uncharacterized. The record is from RefSeq and is a predicted model, not a curated record. NCBI's taxonomy places the organism in Eukaryota, Metazoa, Chordata, Hyperoartia, Petromyzontiformes, Petromyzontidae.